UACGGGGGGGGCAAGCGUUGUUCGGAAUUACUGGGCGUAAAGGGCUCGUAGGCGGCCAACUAAGUCAGACGUGAAAUCCCUCGGCUUAACCGGGGAACUGCGUCUGAUACUGGAUGGCUUGAGAUUGGGAGAGGGAUGCGGAAUUCCAGGUGUAGCGGUGAAAUGCGUAGAUAUCCGGGGGGACACCGGUGGGGAAGGCGGCUUUCUGGAACGGAACUGGAGGUGAGGAGCGAAAGGCUGGGGAGCGAACAGG
Molecule: ribosomal RNA, 253 nt
Filed under: uncultured bacterium
Lineage: Bacteria
Description: partial 16S ribosomal RNA
Rfam family: Bacterial small subunit ribosomal RNA
Source: RNAcentral